CCUUGACAUCUGCAGGCAGCAGCAGCCUGCUGGGACUUCCCAUCCUCAGAGUUGUCUCUUCUCAUGGCAGAGGAACCCAGCAGGUGAAGAGGAGGCUCAUGAGGCUGCCCCAAGCCUGGAGUCUGGGUAGCAGUGUGGGACCUCUCCUUGCACCUGGACUACCUCCAAGUCCAGGAUGGCUGUUGGAUUGUCCCAGGACACCCAGCCCAGCAGCUCCAGCUGCUGAGCAGCAGGAUAUGGGGUCCGUGGCACCUCCUGGGUUCGAGUGCAGUGCUUCCCAACACCCUUGGUCUGGAGCUGUGGAUGGAGAAACCUUGGUUAAGCAGAGGGGUUUGGGGAAAGGAGGUCCGAGGAGCUGUUCCCUCCAGCCUAGCUGCUGCCGACCUUGGCUAGAGGGGCAGGGACCCGUCCCAGUAAUGCUUCCCGAGGGGCUGAGCUCAAAAAUCCAUGGAACUCACUUCUGCAGGAGGUCCUGGCUGGUCUUGCAUCACGGUGCAGCUCCUUCCAAGAGGCACUGGCAGACUUGUGUGCAGGUGUGUCACAGACAGGUGCGAGGUCUGGCUCCCAAAGCUUCCAGUGGAGGCUCUAUUUCGUUUCCAAGAGUUACCUGCCUCCUCCCUUGCAGCCUGCCAGUCCCUCGCACUGUGCUCCAGUCCCAGAGGACCACCAGCCAAGCCCUCCCUCCUGCCAGCCGCCAGGGCUUGUGUUUGCUGAUCAAAACCAGCUUUUGUCCUGUGACUCUGGUUUUAGCUCCUCAACACCUUUGGCUCCCAGGGCUUGACUCUGAAGAGCAGAACCUUGCUUGCUCUGAGCUGAACGUUUGUUUUCUUACCACACAAACCCCCAGCUGAACUGAGGUAGUGUUUGGGAGUCACAGAGCUCCUGAACCAGCUCUCAGGAGCUCCCAAACUGCCCCACUAUGCCCACCCCAUCGUGCACUUGCAGCCCAAAGUGAGAGCACUGAGCAUGGGCCCACAAGGGACAGCAAAGUCUCAGCUGCAGAGACCUUCAGCCAGAGCUGCACUGGGCUGUGCUCCACCUGAGGCCACAGCUACCACCCCUGAGAGCUGCCCCUGCCCUGCGGGUGUCCUGGCAUUGAUCUCAGAGAAGACAAAGCACCUCCUGCUCCUCAAAGCCUCUCCUGAAGCAGCAGCUCCCAU
This is a long non-coding RNA of Pogoniulus pusillus (Red-fronted tinkerbird), 1160 nucleotides long. RefSeq lists it as uncharacterized. Lineage: Eukaryota; Metazoa; Chordata; Aves; Piciformes; Lybiidae. The record is from RefSeq and is a predicted model, not a curated record. The transcript has 2 exons.